Molecule: ribosomal RNA, 500 nt
Filed under: uncultured bacterium
Lineage: Bacteria
Description: partial 16S ribosomal RNA
Rfam family: Bacterial small subunit ribosomal RNA
Source: RNAcentral
AUUGAACGCUGGCGGAAUGCUUUACACAUGCAAGUCGAACGGCCGCACGGACUUCGGUCUGGUGGCGAGUGGCGAACGGGUGAGUAAUGUAUCGGAACGUGCCCAGUCGUGGGGGAUAACGUAGUGAAAAUUACGCUAAUACCGCAUACGAUCUAUGGAUGAAAGCGGGGGAUCGCAAGACCUCGCGCGAUUGGAGCGGCCGAUAUCAGAUUAGGUAGGUGGGGGGGUGAAGGCCCACCAAGCCAACGAUCUGUAGCUGGUCUGAGAGGACGACCAGCCACACUGGAACUGAGACACGGUGCAGCCUCCUACGGGAGGCAGCAGUGGGGAAUUUUGGACAAUGGGCGAAAGCCUGAUCCAGCCAUUCCGCGUGCAGAAUGAAGGCCCUCGGGUUGUAAACUGCUUUUGUACAGAACGAAAAGGUUUCUACUAAUACUAGGAGCUCAUGACGGUACUGUAAGAAUAAGCACCGGCUAACUACGUGCCAGCAGCCGCCGUAA